CCCCUUUCCUGCUGGGCUUGUGUGUGUGUGUGAGUGUGUCUGUGUGAGUGUGUCUGUGUGUCUGUGUGAGUGUGUCUGUGUGUGUGUGUGUGUGUCUGUGUGUGUGUCUGUGUGAGUGUCUGUGUGUGUGUGUGUGUCUGUGUGUGUGUCUGUGUGAGUGUCUGUGUGUCUGUGUGUGUGUCUGUGUGAGUGUCUGUGUGUGUGUGUGUAUGUGUGUGUGUUUGUGAGUGCGUGUCGUGCGCAGUUCCUGUGCGUAGGUAAACACACUUCAAUGGAACGCUCAUCACUCUGUGACACAACUCAUCCAGUGUUUAGCCUCAGAAAAGAAAAGCCAACCAAACCCUCACUGAGAGGUGACGCUGUGUAAGUGUGUGUGUGUGUGUGUGUGUGUGUGUUAAAGAGAGUUUGUGAGUGUGUAUAUGAGUGUGUGUAUAUGUGUGUGUGUAUGUGUGUGUGUAUAUGUGUGUGUGUGUGUGUGUUAAAGAGAGUUUGUGAGUGUGGAUAUGAGUGUGUAUAUAUGUGUGUGUGUGUGUGUGUGUGUGUGUGUGUGUGUGUGUGUGUGUGUUAAAGAGAGUUUGUGAGUGUGGAUAUGAGUGUGUAUAUAUGUGUGUGUGUGUGUGUGUGUGUGUGUGUGUGUGUGUGUGUGUGUGUGUUAAAGAGAGUUUGUGAGUGUGGAUAUGAGUGUGUGUAUAUGUGUGUGUGUGUGUGUGUGUUUUGUGUGUAUAUGUGUGUGUGUGUGUGUGUGUGUGUGUGUGUUAAAGAGAGUUUGUGAGUGUG
Molecule: long non-coding RNA, 777 nt
Organism: Clupea harengus (Atlantic herring)
Lineage: Eukaryota; Metazoa; Chordata; Actinopteri; Clupeiformes; Clupeidae
Source: Ensembl